This 2416-nucleotide ribosomal RNA is filed under the name human gut metagenome. RNAcentral describes it as "bacterial LSU rRNA". It matches the Rfam family "Bacterial large subunit ribosomal RNA", at positions 228 to 2483 of the family's 2925-position model. The record is from RNAcentral.
ACAUCGAUUUCCUAAGUAGCGGCGAGCGAACGGAAAAGAGCCUAACUCAUUAGCGAUUUAUUAAAGUUAGUCAAAUUAUCUGAAAAGAUAAACCAAAGAAAGUGAAAGUCUUGUAGACGAAAACAUUAAUAAACGAGAGGGAAAGUAUCACCGGGCACGAGUAACCCGGUGUGAAGAUAGGGGGCCCAUCCCCUAAGGCUAAAUACUAACAUGUGACCGAUAGUGAACAAGUACCGUGAGGGAAAGGUGAAAAGAACCCCGAAAGGGGAGUGAAAUAGAACCUGAAACCUAGUGCCUACAAGCAGACAGAGCGUGAGCGAACGUGAUGUCGUACCUUUUGUAGAAUGGGCCAGCGAGUUAUUCUAAAUUGCAAGGUUAAUGAUUUAAGAUUAGAAGCCGCAGCGAAAGCGAGUCUUAAUAGGGCGAAAGUAAGUUAGAAUAGACCCGAAACCGGGUGAUCUAUCCAUGGUCAGAGUGAAGUUGAAGUAAAAUUCAAUGGAGGCUCGAACCGGGUGCGGUUUAAAACGCAUCGGAUGAACUGUGGAUAGGGGCGAAAAACCAAACGAACCCGGAGAUAGCUGGUUCUCCUCGAAAUAGCUUUAGGGCUAGCCUCUGACCUAAGAUUUUAGGAGGUAGAGCACUGAAUGGUCUAGGGCGGAUUACCGUACCAAAACCUAUCAAACUCCGAAUGCCAAAAAAUCAAGUCAGGGAGUCAGACUUAGGGGGAUAAGCUUCUAAGUCGAAAGGGAAACAGCCCAGACCGACAGCUAAGGUCCCAAAAUUUGAAUUAAGUGGAAAAGGAUGUGAAUCUACUAAGACAACCAGGACGUUGGCUUAGAAGCAGCCAUGCAUUUAAAGAGUGCGUAAUAGCUCACUGGUCAAGUGGGUUUGCGCCGAAAAUGAACGGGGCUCAAAUUCAAUACCGAAGCUUCGGAUUAAUAGAGGGAUUAAGUUUACAAAUGAGACUAGGAAAUAUUUAACAAAAACAGAAGAGAUUAAGAAAAACAAAUUUCAGACGCAGACAUAAAGAUAGGAUAUUAAAGAAAAAUAUUCAAAAAAACACAAGUCUAAAGUCAAAAGUGAGUAACAUAAGAAAUUAUGAACUAACAAUCACUGGUUAGAGUUAAAAACUAGGACUCAUAGCUAAACUUAAUACCUCUAUUAGUGGUAGAGGAGCAUUGUAUUAGAGACGAAGCCAAGGCGAAAGCAAAAGUGGAUCUAAUACAAGAGAGAAUGCUGGCAUGAGUAGCGAGAAGGGAUGUGAGAAUCAUCCCCGUCGAAACCCUAAGGACUCCUGAGCAAGGCUCGUCCCCUCAGGGAAAGUCGGGACCUAAGCCAAGGCCGAAAGGCGUAGGCGAUGGAUAACAGGUUUAUAUUCCUGUACCGCUUGAAGUCGUUAAGAGAGAAGUGAUGACGCAAAAGGAUAAGCAAAGCCAUCAGAUGGAAAAGAUGGUCUAAAGCCGUAGGAAGAAAAGUAGGCAAAUCCGCUUUUCACAAAUUCUAAAAGCCGAUAGGUAUCGAAAACAUAAGUAGAGAAGUUGCCGAUUCCAGGUUGCCAAGAAAAGUCACUAUCCAGACCAAAGCGCCCGUACCAAAACCGACACAGGUAGGGAGGUAGAGAAUACCAAGACGCGCGGAAGAACCUUUGUUAAGGAACUCGGCAAAAUGCCCCCGUAACUUCGGGAGAAGGGGAGCCUGAGCAAUCAGGCCACAGAAACCAGGCCCAAGCGACUGUUUACCAAAAACACAAGUUUCUGCAAAAUCGCAAGAUGAAGUAUAGGAGCUGACACCUGCCCGGUGCUGGAAGGUUAAGGGGAAGGCUUAGAGCAAUCGAAGGCUAGAACUUAAGCCCCAGUAAACGGCGGCCGUAACUAUAACGGUCCUAAGGUAGCGAAAUUCCUUGUCGGGUAAGUUCCGACCCGCACGAAAGGUGUAACGAUUUGGGCACUGUCUCAACAAAGGAUCCGGUGAAAUUGUAGUAGUCGUGAAGAUGCGACUUACCCACGCUAGGACGGAAAGACCCCGUGGAGCUUUACUGUAGGCUGAUAUUGGAUUUUGAGAUUAAAUGUACAGGAUAGUUGGGAGACUGAGAUAUCUGGAUGCCAAUCUAGGAGGAGUCACCGGUGGGAUACCAACCUUUUAAUAUCAAAGUUCUAACCAUAGCCCUUGAAUCAGGGCAUGGGACAUUGUCAGUUGGGCAGUUUGACUGGGGCGGUCGCCUCCUAAAAAGUAACGGAGGCGUUCAAAGGUUCGCUCAGAAUGGACGGAAACCAUUCGCAGAGUAUAAAGGCAGAAGCGAGCUUAACUGCGAGAGCUACAACUCAAGCAGAGUCGAAAGACGGACUUAGUGAUCCGGUGGUACCGCAUGGAAGGGCCAUCGCUCAACGGAUAAAAGCUACCCUGGGGAUAACAGGCU